Molecule: ribosomal RNA, 504 nt
Filed under: Moesziomyces bullatus
Lineage: Eukaryota; Fungi; Basidiomycota; Ustilaginomycetes; Ustilaginales; Ustilaginaceae
Description: eukaryotic LSU rRNA
Rfam family: Eukaryotic large subunit ribosomal RNA
Source: RNAcentral
AGCCCAAGAUUGAAAGCUGGCGUCUUCGGCGUCCGCAUUGUAAUCUCAAGAAGUGUUUUCCGCUUCGGACCAAGCCUAAGUCCCUUGGAAAAGGGCAUCAUAGAGGGUGAUAAUCCCGUACAUGGCUUGGAGCGCCCGAAGCUUUGUGAUACGCUUUCUAAGAGUCGAGUUGUUUGGGAAUGCAGCUCAAAAUGGGUGGUAAAUGCCAUCUAAGGCUAAAUAUUGGGGAGAGACCGAUAGCGAACAAGUACAGUGAUGGAAAGAUGAAAAGAACUUUGAAAAGAGAGUUAAACAGUACGUGAAAUUGCCAAAAGGGAAGGGUAGGAGGUCAGAGAUGCGGCCUGGGAUUCAGCCUUGCUUUUGCUUGGUGUUUUUCCCAGAUUGCAGGCCAACGUCGGUUUUGGGCACUGGAGAAGGGUAGGAGGAACGUGGCACCUCUCGGGGUGUGUUAUAGCCUCCUACUGGAUACAGCGACCGAGACCGAGGACAGCAGCGUACUCGCAA